AACGAGGUGGCCGAGUAGGUAGAAGAUUGUAGCUCUUCCCACGGGUUUAAUUACCCCCUUGUU
RNAcentral lists this transfer RNA (63 nucleotides) under Pharyngocirrus uchidai. RNAcentral's name for it is "tRNA-Tyr". Lineage: Eukaryota; Metazoa; Annelida; Polychaeta; Saccocirridae. The record is from RNAcentral.